This is a long non-coding RNA of Hyaena hyaena (striped hyena), 1020 nucleotides long. RefSeq lists it as uncharacterized. NCBI's taxonomy places the organism in Eukaryota, Metazoa, Chordata, Mammalia, Carnivora, Hyaenidae. The record is from RefSeq and is a predicted model, not a curated record. The transcript is spliced from 3 exons.
AACCGGGCAGACUGGUUAAAACCAUCUGCACCUCAGCUGUACUCUCUUCCAUCCCAGUGUCAGGAGGACGCCCGGGGAGCUUGACUUGCAAAAUCUUAUAAUGCAGAAGACAGCAGAGACAGUGGGGAGUGGGACGUAAUGCCUGAAGCUUAAUUAGAGGAACUAAGUGAAAGUUUGCAGCCUGCACACAAGGACCUCCCCCACAGCCUUCCUCAGGAGGCUGGGGUUCAAGCAUGGACUCCCCAAGAGGGACUGGAGCAGUAACCUCUGGGGAGGAUAAAUAUCCCCAGACGGAGAAGUUAAUGUGAAGUUGUCCUAGGUGAGUCUCUGAGCACGUGAGUGAAGACGCCAUCUUGGAUAGAGGCCCAGUCAAGCAUUCAGAGGACUUCAACUCCAGCCACCAUAUGACUACAACCUCAUGAGAGGCCCCAGGAGAACAGGCCUUGGCUGGCCUGCUGGAGACUGAAGGGGAGUUGGUCGAGAAGCAAAUUGAGCCAGCCAAGAUCAUCCUGAUCAGCCAACAGCCAGUUGCCUGUACUAAUGUAGAAGAUAGAAAAUGUACCAAAUGGAAUUUUGAUCAUGUCCAAAGGAUCUCCAGGCAGAAUACUGAAAGUGUCAGUGGGCUCUUACUAGCCAUAUAUGAUAAUAGGCCACAAGAAGAAAUGAACUCAAAAAGAGAACUGGCUGGUUUCCAGGCCACCUUUAGAGGGAAUCUAGUAAUACUUGAUUUGAAAAAUAAAAACUUUCUCAUCUCUAGCUGCUUGAGUGAGGAAAAGAUGAUCAAAUUAACACAUGAUGUCAAGGUAAUAUCAAAUCAAGGAUGUAGUUAUGAGAUGCUGAUAGAAUUAAGGUAGUUCCUGAUAAGUCCACUCAACUAGACAGGAGAGCUUCCAGGAAUUUUAAGGGUGAUAUCUCACAGCCAAUUAUACACCCAAAAUAGCAGCGAUUAAGUCUAUAAUGAGAAACUCCUCUCAAAAAAGAUUAUGAAUAUGACCUUGUCUGUUCUGAUUACACUGUAAA